Molecule: ribosomal RNA, 119 nt
Filed under: Triticum dicoccoides
Lineage: Eukaryota; Viridiplantae; Streptophyta; Magnoliopsida; Poales; Poaceae
Source: RNAcentral
GGAUGCGAUCAUACCAGCACUAAAGCACCGUAUCCCAUCAGAACUUUGAAGUUAAGCGUGCUUGGGCGAGAGUAGUACUAGGAUGGGUGACCUCCUGGGAAGUCCUCUUGUUGCCUUCC